GGGAAAUUGAAUUCAAUUUGGUAUAACUGUCUGAUGUGAUAUAAUUAAUUUUCAUUAUAAAAGCUAUUGGAUUAUUUUUACUUUCAACUGCGAUUUGUUUUGGAUGGCCUGUUCAUGAACUUAAGAUCAUAUUGCAAAGACACGAGUCUUAUUAUGGUGAAUUUAAGUCUAAAAUGUCAUGUUUCCAGCAUCAUACAUAAUUUGGAGUUAAAUUUUAUAGAAUAACAAAUGGAAUGUACAUUUAAAGUUCUUUGGAAGAGAAAAAAGAAGAUAUAGAAUAUCUGGAUGAGAAAAGUCAGAGAAAGGGAAUUAAACUCAUACUUCGAUCUGCUCGAUAAGAAACGUAUUUCAAGAAAAGAAUGGAAUCACUAUACAUCAUAAACAGUCAUUGAAAAUUUCAGAGCUUCAAAUUGCUGGUGAUACAUCAUAAAAACGUACCUAAACGUCGAAAUAAACGCUUUUCUAGGUAGC
Molecule: long non-coding RNA, 471 nt
Organism: Argiope bruennichi
Lineage: Eukaryota; Metazoa; Arthropoda; Arachnida; Araneae; Araneidae
Exons: 5
Source: RefSeq, a predicted model, not a curated record